GAUCCUGGCUCAGGAUGAACGCUAGCGACAGGCUUAACACAUGCAAGUCGAGGGGCAGCGGGGAGUAGCAAUACUUCGCCGGCGACCGGCGCACGGGUGAGUAACACGUGUGCAACCAACCCCGUACCGGGAGAUAACCCGCGGAAACGUGGACUAACAUCCCAUGAUACUCGAGGGCCGCAUGGCUCUCGAUUUAAAAUUCCGGUGGUACGGGACGGGCACGCGCGACAUUAGGUAGUUGGCGGGGUAACGGCCCACCAAG
RNAcentral lists this ribosomal RNA (262 nucleotides) under uncultured bacterium. RNAcentral describes it as "partial 16S ribosomal RNA". It matches the Rfam family "Bacterial small subunit ribosomal RNA", at positions 15 to 272 of the family's 1533-position model. The record is from RNAcentral.